AUUGAACGCUGGCGGUAGGCCUAACACAUGCAAGUCGAACGCGAAAGUCCUUCGGGAUGAGUAGAGUGGCGGACGGGUGAGUAACGCGUAGGAAUCUAUCCUGUAGUGGGGGAUAACGUUUCGAAAGGAACGCUAAUACCGCAUACGCCCCAAGGGGGAAAGCGGGGGAUCUUCGGACCUCGUGCUAUAGGAGGAGCCUGCGUCGGAUUAGCUAGUUGGUGAGGUAAAGGCUCACCAAGGCGACGAUCCGUAGCUGGUCUGAGAGGAUGAUCAGCCACACCGGAACGGGGACACGGUCGGGACUCCUACGGGGGGCAGCAGUGGGGAAUAUUGCGCAAUGGGCGAAAGCCUGACGCAGCCAUACCGCGUGUGUGAAGAAGGCCUUCGGGUUGUAAAGCACUUUCAGUGGGGAGGAAAAGCUGGUGGCUAAUAUCCAUCGGCCGUGACGCUACCCACAGAAGAAGCACCGGCUAAUUCCGUGCCAGCAGCCGCCGUAA
This 497-nucleotide ribosomal RNA is filed under the name uncultured bacterium. RNAcentral describes it as "partial 16S ribosomal RNA". It matches the Rfam family "Bacterial small subunit ribosomal RNA", at positions 29 to 523 of the family's 1533-position model. The record is from RNAcentral.